CCUACGGGCGGCAGCAGUGGGGGAUAUUGCACAAUGGGGGAAACCCUGAUGCAGCGACGCCGCGUGGGCGAAGAAGUAUUUCGGUAUGUAAAGCACUAUCAGCAGGGAAGAAGAAAUGACGGUACCUGAGUAAGAAGCACCGGCUAAAUACGUGCCAGCAGCCGCGGUAAUACGUAGGGUGCAAGCGUUAUCCGGAGUUACUGGGUGUAAAGGGAGCGCAGGCGGCGCGGCAAGCCUGAUGUGAAAGCCCGCGGCCCAACCGCGGGACUGCAUUGGGAACUACCGGGCGGGAGUGCCGGAGAGGUAGGCGGAAUUCGUGGUGUAGCGGUGAAAUGCAUAGAGAUCACGCAGAAUCCCGAUGGCGAAGGCAGCCUUCCGGCGACCGACUGACGCUGAGGUGCGAAAGUGCGGGGAUCGAACAGGAUUAGAUACCCGUGUAGUC
RNAcentral lists this ribosomal RNA (442 nucleotides) under uncultured bacterium. RNAcentral describes it as "partial 16S ribosomal RNA". It matches the Rfam family "Bacterial small subunit ribosomal RNA", at positions 338 to 795 of the family's 1533-position model. The record is from RNAcentral.